RNAcentral lists this ribosomal RNA (492 nucleotides) under uncultured bacterium. RNAcentral describes it as "partial 16S ribosomal RNA". It matches the Rfam family "Bacterial small subunit ribosomal RNA", at positions 29 to 507 of the family's 1533-position model. The record is from RNAcentral.
AGUGAACGCUGGCGGUAGGCCUAACACAUGCAAGUCGAACGGCAGCACAGUAAGAGCUUGCUCUUACGGGUGGCGAGUGGCGGACGGGUGAGGAAUACAUCGGAAUCUACUUUUUCGUGGGGGAUAACGUAGGGAAACUUACGCUAAUACCGCAUACGACCUACGGGUGAAAGCAGGGGAUCUUCGGACCUUGCGCGAUUGAAUGAGCCGAUGCCGGAUUAGCUAGUUGGCGGGGUAAAGGCCCACCAAGGCGACGAUCCGUAGCUGGUCUGAGAGGAUGAUCAGCCACACUGGAACUGAGACAUGGUCCAGACUCCUACGGGAGGCAGCAGUGGGGAAUAUUGGACAAUGGGCGCAAGCCUGAUCCAGCCAUACCGCGUGGGUGAAGAAGGCCUUCGGGUUGUAAAGCCCUUUUGUUGGGAAAGAAAAGCAGCAGGUUAAUACCCCGCUGUUCUGACGGUACCCAAAGAAUAAGCACCGGCUAACUUCGUG